AACGAACGCUGGCGGCAUGCCUAACACAUGCAAGUCGAACGAGACCUUCGGGUCUAGUGGCGCACGGGUGCGUAACGCGUGGGAACCUGCCCUUAGGUUCGGAAUAACUCCCCGAAAGGGGUGCUAAUACCGGAUAAUGUCUUCGGACCAAAGAUUUAUCGCCUUUGGAUGGGCCCGCGUUGGAUUAGCUAGUUGGUAGGGUAAAAGCCUACCAAGGCGACGAUCCAUAGCUGGUCUGAGAGGAUGAUCAGCCACACUGGGACUGAGACACGGCCCAGACUCCUACGGGAGGCAGGAGUGGGGAAUAUUGGACAAUGGGCGAAAGGCUGAUCCAGCAAUGACGGGUGAGUGAUGAAGGCCUUAGGGUUGUAAAGCUCUUUUACCCGGGAUGAUAAUGACAGUACCGGGAGAAAAAGCUCCGGCUAACUCCGUG
This 433-nucleotide ribosomal RNA is filed under the name uncultured bacterium. RNAcentral's name for it is "partial 16S ribosomal RNA". It matches the Rfam family "Bacterial small subunit ribosomal RNA", at positions 29 to 507 of the family's 1533-position model. The record is from RNAcentral.